This 69-nucleotide transfer RNA is filed under the name Ictidomys tridecemlineatus (thirteen-lined ground squirrel). RNAcentral's name for it is "Spermophilus tridecemlineatus (thirteen-lined ground squirrel) tRNA". It matches the Rfam family "tRNA". From Rfam's summary of the family: Transfer RNA (tRNA) molecules are approximately 80 nucleotides in length. Their secondary structure includes four short double-helical elements and three loops (D, anti-codon, and T loops). The record is from Rfam by way of RNAcentral. Lineage: Eukaryota; Metazoa; Chordata; Mammalia; Rodentia; Sciuridae.
GAGGUUGUAGCUCAGUGGUAGAGCACUUGUCUAGCAUGCAUGAGGCACUGGGUUCGAUCCUCAGCAUCA